AGCCCAAAUACUAUAUUAUAUCUGUGGGUGCCAAAGAGAUUUUCAUUUAUGUAAUAUAUUGGUCUACUAUUUUAAAUCCUUAAUCUUAGUGCCUGUAGUUGUGUAUACUAAAAGUGCCUAUUAGAUUAAAUACUUUAGGCACAAGAAAUCAUCCACGCAUGAAUGCUGAAUGAGUAAAACAGCACUUCACAUAGGGACAUAUGCUUGGGUAUAAUGUGUGGGAUACAAUAAAUUGCAAUGUCAGCCAUAUAUGUAGAACAGCCUGUUCUGAUAAAUUCAAAGUUCCUGCUGAGAGGGAAAACCAUAAACUAGCAGUGUGAAAGCUGUUCUCACCAGACAACUGGAAGUACUGGCAACUUACAGGUGCAUCACAUGAGAAUUUACUUAGUUGUCCCUGUGAAAAUGUUCUACCAUGGGGCAGUGGAUUACCUGCCUUGGGCAGCUGCCCAUGCAAGGCAAGGAAAGGCUAAGAAAUGUUAUUUCUUUCCACCCCUUCAUCUUACACUCUUCUUCUCAACUCUUCCCUAGGUAAAAUCACCCCUGGAUUAACUGUAAGUGCUCUCAGCCGUGGUCUUUGGAGUACAUUUGAAGCAGUUCUAUCAACUCAGCUCUAGGUCUCUUAAGCACAGGACUUCAUAGCUCAGCAGGUAGUGUGCUGCCAUCCUGAAGUGUGAGUGGCAUGAGGAGAUGGCUUCUGAAGACAAGUGGGAGAAAAAAAAAAAACAGGCUUAGCACAACAUGUUGCAGAGAAACGACUUCAAAGUUUUAAUAAUCAAUUCUGAUUUUUAACCCUACCGGAAAAAAAUGUCACAAACUGUGAAAUCCAAUGUGCUACACAUCCGUGUAGCUGUUACUUGACUGAGUAAUUACUGUGGGAGUGACAGUCCCAUUACCAGAUCUUGGACAGGUAAACACUGAGCGGGAGCUACACGGUCACUGAAGAAUGAAAUAUCAACAAGGUAUUGUGUUGGACUUCCUUCACUUUCAGCUUGGUUGUAAUCUUCAGGCACUGUGACUUGUAUUUUUUACAAGAAUAUGAGCCCUUUGCAGCUCUAUCUAACCCCUUCAAAGAGCGUGGGGUGUAAUGUGUGUCUGUUGCUAGUGAUACUUUUUUCUUUGUGAUUCAGUAUGGUUUGAAUAUGGUGGAGUUCAGUUCUUGCUGCUUUUUUUUCAGAGCCGUCAUUCUGAUUUGUUUGUGGGUUGUUGUUGUUUUGGGGUUUAUUUUUGCUGUGUAUAAUGAUAUCUGAAUAACCCUGGUGUAUCCUUUCUCCUCCAUGCAAUCUGUAAUAUUGGCCAUUCUGCACUGCACUACUUCUCUUGGAGAUUUGACUUCAGUCCUGUCAGCCACACAGCUCAUCCUAUCACUGGCCUCCUGCUGAUAAGACUGACAACGCCAGACUGCACAACUUACCCUCCAAAGAGGAAGCAGGGAGAAAACGUCCCAGAGAUAUAUUUCCUCUGUAGCUUUUAUUAAAAUCAAUCUUGCUCACCUG
Long non-coding RNA from Pezoporus occidentalis (night parrot), 1493 nucleotides. RefSeq lists it as uncharacterized. NCBI's taxonomy places the organism in Eukaryota, Metazoa, Chordata, Aves, Psittaciformes, Psittacidae. The transcript has 2 exons. The record is from RefSeq and is a predicted model, not a curated record.